AUUUAAUUGCUGCAUGUUGUACUUUUAAACAUCACUUGUUGUGAUUUGUAAACCUCAGUUGUAGUGUUCCAUAUUAAUACUUUAAAAAUACUCUAGACAAAUGGUUGAUUGUGGAGGAACACUGGACUAUCAGGUGCAGUGACCUAGUUUCCUGCAACAUCAUAGCUGGUCUCCAGCUGCCAGUCUAGAAAGUCUUGGUGCUCACAUUGUACCUCUGUCACAUCGGUGCCUGGCUCAGGUGUUCCAGGGCCUCUCAGAGAGCAGGACUAAAUACAGCACCUGAGGGACAGAGAUGUUCAUCCUCAAUGUCAUGAUUUGGGAAG
Molecule: long non-coding RNA, 323 nt
Organism: Hirundo rustica (Barn swallow)
Lineage: Eukaryota; Metazoa; Chordata; Aves; Passeriformes; Hirundinidae
Exons: 4
Source: RefSeq, a predicted model, not a curated record